Long non-coding RNA from Passer domesticus (house sparrow), 1161 nucleotides. RefSeq lists it as uncharacterized. The record is from RefSeq and is a predicted model, not a curated record. NCBI's taxonomy places the organism in Eukaryota, Metazoa, Chordata, Aves, Passeriformes, Passeridae. The transcript has 3 exons.
AGCGUCGCUUGAAAUCUCAUUAUGCACAAACUUGGCUAUGUGGGAACCUAAAUACUUUAUUGUGUUCUAAAUAUGAGGUGCUUUUCUGCUCCAAUGAAUCCAGAGUGUGUCACAAUGAAGUUUUGGUGCUGUGGUGUACUGGGGUCUGCAGGACUCUGGGGCAGCUGCAAAGGACAGAGAGGUCACAAUCCCAUCUCAGAUAAAAACCCUGUCUGGAAUGAAAAGAAGCAAUCUAAAACCAUUCUAAAACUCAAGCAAUUGAAGUGAUCAAAUUUAGGAAAAUACAACAGCACAGUAAAUACAUACAGUCAGGUGCUGUGAGAGCUCUUCUUUUAACUGCAAUGGGGAAGCAACCAACCAAACUUUGUAGGAAAGCCCAAAAUCUGUAGGACUUCCCACAUUCUUCAUAGGGCUGAGCAGGUCCAGCUGUGCCACAUCUGCUGCAGGGUUUGUGUCCAGCUGCUGGCUGCACAUUCCACUGAGCUGAGCCCAAAGGAGAGGAGCACCAAGUGACACCAGCCCUGAAAGCAGUGGGAUGGAUGAAGUCACAUUCCAAUCACAGAUGAAUUAGUGUUAAGUAGAGGCUCAAAUUCUGAAAUUACAUGUUCUGGGAAAAUGAAGAAUAAUCUCCCUGAGCACAGGUGCAAAUUUAUCCUGUGUUGGCAUUAUUGCAUUUGUUCCAAAAGGAAAUCCACCAAGAAGACCAGGAACUGAAAACUGUAAAAAUGCUUGAGAAAAGUCAAGACUCAUUCCAGUCUGUUGUGAUGGAAGAGUCAGGAGUGCACGAUGAGAAGGGCUCAGCUGCACCUCAUGGGGCCAUGCACAGCACUGGACCUGUUCCUCCUGCCUCCAGGGCUUCUGGAGAGCUCAUGGAAUGGCCACAAGGGAGAAGAAAUCAAUGGGAUUAAGUGUUGAUUGAAAGCAGACAUAAAAAUGUGAGUCUCUUGAAGCAUAACUAGAGAACAGGUAAAAAAUAUACCUGUUUUGUAUACAAAUAUCCCGUAACACACCCGUCCCACCACACCCUGCUGGUCUGCGGGCUCCCCAGGAGAGCACCAGCAGGGCUGUUUCUGCAGGAGCAGCUGGCCCUGGGAGAGCAGGAGCAGCCUCCUCAGCCUUCGAGUCAGCAGCAUGGCUGUGGUGUUGCUGAAGCACAGCUUU